Molecule: ribosomal RNA, 315 nt
Filed under: uncultured eukaryote
Lineage: Eukaryota
Description: partial 18S ribosomal RNA
Rfam family: Eukaryotic small subunit ribosomal RNA
Source: RNAcentral
CCCUUAGACGUUCUGGGCCGCACGCGCGCUACACUGACCAGUGCAACAAGCAUCCGUCCUUGGCCGACAGGCUCGGGCAAUCUUUGAACGCUGGUCGUGAUGGGGAUAGACUUUUGCAAUUUUUGGUCUUCAACGAGGAAUUCCUAGUAAACGCAAGUCGUCAACUUGCAUUGAUUACGUCCCUGCCCUUUGUACACACCGCCCGUCGCACCUACCGAUUGAAUGGUCCGGUGAAGCCUCCGGAUUGGCGCGCACCUCGGUGCCGCCGAGAAGUUGGCUAAACCUUACCAUUUAGAGGAAGGUGAAGUCGUAACA